This 2109-nucleotide ribosomal RNA is filed under the name Escherichia coli. RNAcentral describes it as "partial 23S ribosomal RNA". It matches the Rfam family "Bacterial large subunit ribosomal RNA", at positions 1 to 2136 of the family's 2925-position model. The record is from RNAcentral. Lineage: Bacteria; Pseudomonadati; Pseudomonadota; Gammaproteobacteria; Enterobacterales; Enterobacteriaceae.
GUUAAGCGACUAAGCGUACACGGUGGAUGCCCUGGCAGUCAGAGGCGAUGAAGGACGUGCUAAUCUGCGAUAAGCGUCGGUAAGGUGAUAUGAACCGUUAUAACCGGCGAUUUCCGAAUGGGGAAACCCAGUGUGUUUCGACACACUAUCAUUAACUGAAUCCAUAGGUUAAUGAGGCGAACCGGGGGAACUGAAACAUCUAAGUACCCCGAGGAAAAGAAAUCAACCGAGAUUCCCCCAGUAGCGGCGAGCGAACGGGGAGCAGCCCAGAGCCUGAAUCAGUGUGUGUGUUAGUGGAAGCGUCUGGAAAGGCGCGCGAUACAGGGUGACAGCCCCGUACACAAAAAUGCACAUGCUGUGAGCUCGAUGAGUAGGGCGGGACACGUGGUAUCCUGUCUGAAUAUGGGGGGACCAUCCUCCAAGGCUAAAUACUCCUGACUGACCGAUAGUGAACCAGUACCGUGAGGGAAAGGCGAAAAGAACCCCGGCGAGGGGAGUGAAAAAGAACCUGAAACCGUGUACGUACAAGCAGUGGGAGCACGCUUAGGCGUGUGACUGCGUACCUUUUGUAUAAUGGGUCAGCGACUUAUAUUCUGUAGCAAGGUUAACCGAAUAGGGGAGCCGAAGGGAAACCGAGUCUUAACUGGGCGUUAAGUUGCAGGGUAUAGACCCGAAACCCGGUGAUCUAGCCAUGGGCAGGUUGAAGGUUGGGUAACACUAACUGGAGGACCGAACCGACUAAUGUUGAAAAAUUAGCGGAUGACUUGUGGCUGGGGGUGAAAGGCCAAUCAAACCGGGAGAUAGCUGGUUCUCCCCGAAAGCUAUUUAGGUAGCGCCUCGUGAAUUCAUCUCCGGGGGUAGAGCACUGUUUCGGCAAGGGGGUCAUCCCGACUUACCAACCCGAUGCAAACUGCGAAUACCGGAGAAUGUUAUCACGGGAGACACACGGCGGGUGCUAACGUCCGUCGUGAAGAGGGAAACAACCCAGACCGCCAGCUAAGGUCCCAAAGUCAUGGUUAAGUGGGAAACGAUGUGGGAAGGCCCAGACAGCCAGGAUGUUGGCUUAGAAGCAGCCAUCAUUUAAAGAAAGCGUAAUAGCUCACUGGUCGAGUCGGCCUGCGCGGAAGAUGUAACGGGGCUAAACCAUGCACCGAAGCUGCGGCAGCGACGCUGAUGCGUUGUUGGGUAGGGGAGCGUUCUGUAAGCCUGCGAAGGUGUGCUGUGAGGCAUGCUGGAGGUAUCAGAAGUGCGAAUGCUGACAUAAGUAACGAUAAAGCGGGUGAAAAGCCCGCUCGCCGGAAGACCAAGGGUUCCUGUCCAACGUUAAUCGGGGCAGGGUGAGUCGACCCCUAAGGCGAGGCCGAAAGGCGUAGUCGAUGGGAAACAGGUUAAUAUUCCUGUACUUGGUGUUACUGCGAAGGGGGGACGGAGAAGGCUAUGUUGGCCGGGCGACGGUUGUCCCGGUUUAAGCGUGUAGGCUGGUUUUCCAGGCAAAUCCGGAAAAUCAAGGCUGAGGCGUGAUGACGAGGCACUACGGUGCUGAAGCAACAAAUGCCCUGCUUCCAGGAAAAGCCUCUAAGCAUCAGGUAACAUCAAAUCGUACCCCAAACCGACACAGGUGGUCAGGUAGAGAAUACCAAGGCGCUUGAGAGAACUCGGGUGAAGGAACUAGGCAAAAUGGUGCCGUAACUUCGGGAGAAGGCACGCUGAUAUGUAGGUGAGGUCCCUCGCGGAUGGAGCUGAAAUCAGUCGAAGAUACCAGCUGGCUGCAACUGUUUAUUAAAAACACAGCACUGUGCAAACACGAAAGUGGACGUAUACGGUGUGACGCCUGCCCGGUGCCGGAAGGUUAAUUGAUGGGGUUAGCGCAAGCGAAGCUCUUGAUCGAAGCCCCGGUAAACGGCGGCCGUAACUAUAACGGUCCUAAGGUAGCGAAAUUCCUUGUCGGGUAAGUUCCGACCUGCACGAAUGGCGUAAUGAUGGCCAGGCUGUCUCCACCCGAGACUCAGUGAAAUUGAACUCGCUGUGAAGAUGCAGUGUACCCGCGGCAAGACGGAAAGACCCCGUGAACCUUUACUAUAGCUUGACACUGAACAUUGAGCCUUGAUG